RNAcentral lists this ribosomal RNA (292 nucleotides) under uncultured Acidovorax sp. RNAcentral's name for it is "partial 16S ribosomal RNA". It matches the Rfam family "Bacterial small subunit ribosomal RNA", at positions 505 to 796 of the family's 1533-position model. The record is from RNAcentral. Lineage: Bacteria; Pseudomonadati; Pseudomonadota; Betaproteobacteria; Burkholderiales; Comamonadaceae.
GUGUCAGCCGCCGCGGUAAUACGUAGGGUGCAAGCGUUAAUCGGAAUUACUGGGCGUAAGGCGUGCGCAGGCGGUUAUAUAAGACAGAUGUGAAAUCCCCGGGCUCAACCUGGGAACUGCAUUUGUGACUGUAUAGCUAGAGUACGGCAGAGGGGGAUGGAAUUCCGCGUGUAGCAGUGAAAUGCGUAGAUAUGCGGAGGAACACCGAUGGCGAAGGCAAUCCCCUGGGCCUGUACUGACGCUCAUGCACGAAAGCGUGGGGAGCAAACAGGAUUAGAAACCCGAGUAGUCC